GGGGAAUUUUGGACAAUGGGCGCAAGCCUGAUCCAGCCAUGCCGCGUGCGGGAAGAAGGCCUUCGGGUUGUAAACCGCUUUCGGACAGAAAGAAAUCGUGUGGGUUAAUAGCCUGCAUGGAUGACGGUACUGUAAGAAGAAGCACCGGCUAACUACGUGCCAGCAGCCGCGGUAAUACGUAGGGUGCGAGCGUUAAUCGGAAUUACUGGGCGUAAAGCGUGCGCAGGCGGAUAUUUAAGUCAGACGUGAAAUCCCCGGGCUUAACCUGGGAAUGGCGUUUGAAACUGGAUGUCUAGAGUGUGGCAGAGGGGGGUGGAAUUCCGCGUGUAGCAGUGAAAUGCGUAGAUAUGCGGAGGAACACCGAUGGCGAAGGCAGCCCCCUGGGCUAACACUGACGCUCAUGCACGAAAGCGUGGGGAGCAAAC
Molecule: ribosomal RNA, 425 nt
Filed under: uncultured bacterium
Lineage: Bacteria
Description: bacterial SSU rRNA
Rfam family: Bacterial small subunit ribosomal RNA
Source: RNAcentral